RNAcentral lists this ribosomal RNA (394 nucleotides) under uncultured bacterium. Its description in RNAcentral is "bacterial SSU rRNA". It matches the Rfam family "Bacterial small subunit ribosomal RNA", at positions 362 to 773 of the family's 1533-position model. The record is from RNAcentral.
UUUUCCCCACUGGGCGCAAGCCUGAGGGGGCGACGCCGCGUGCAGGAUGACGGCCUUCGGGUUGUAAACUGCUUUUUGGAGGGGAGAUAGUGAAGGUACCUGCCGAAUAAGCCCCGGCUAACUCUGUGCCAGCAGCCGCGGUAAGACAGAGGGGGCAAGCGUUGUCCGGACUGACUGGGCGUAAAGCGUCCGCAGGUGGCGUGGCAAGUACGGUGUGAAAUCAGGCGGCUCAACCGCCUGCGGUCAUCGUAGACUGUCAUGCUGGAGGACUGGAGAGGUCGGUGGAAUUGCCGGUGUAGUGGUGAUAUGCGUAGAUAUCGGCAGGAACACCCAAGGGGAAGCCAGCCGACUGGCCAGUGCCUGACACUCAUGGACGACAGCGUGGGGAGCGAAC